ACCAUCUCUAGGGUGCUUUCGUGAUUGGAAGCAACUGGACAUUGUGGAUACUGGAGAAGCAGCAUUAGGUGAUGAGCUAGAUUGAGAUUGAGACUGCGGUGGCCAUGGAGUGUUCCAAGCUCCAGGAACCAUGUAGCCCCAAUAAGCAGCAGCAGCAGCAGCUGGAUAGAACGGAAUUGCUACACUUGAGGUGAAAUAGGCAGGUGAAGGUGCGCAGCUGAAUGGCCACAUGGUUCCCCCGUUCAUGCAUGGAUGCUGCGCAACAUUUGUGGAUUUAUCUGCUGUAACUUCCUCCCUUGAGUUCAUUUGGUUCUGCUCUUCUCCUUUUGCCCAUCCUUCAGCACAAGACCCUACUGAUGGGUCAUCGGUGUUCUUG
This 376-nucleotide long non-coding RNA is filed under the name Brachypodium distachyon (stiff brome). Its description in RNAcentral is "long non-coding RNA (BDIS_LNC001468)". The record is from RNAcentral. Lineage: Eukaryota; Viridiplantae; Streptophyta; Magnoliopsida; Poales; Poaceae.